This 254-nucleotide ribosomal RNA is filed under the name uncultured bacterium. RNAcentral's name for it is "partial 16S ribosomal RNA". It matches the Rfam family "Bacterial small subunit ribosomal RNA", at positions 524 to 776 of the family's 1533-position model. The record is from RNAcentral.
UACGUAGGGGGCAAGCGUUGUCCGGAUUCAUUGGGCGUAAAGAGCUCGUAGGCGGCUUGGCAAGUCGGGUGUGAAACCUCCAGGCUCAACCUGGAGACGCCACCCGAUACUGCCAUGGCUAGAGUCCGGUAGGGGACCACGGAAUUCCUGGUGUAGCGGUGAAAUGCGCAGAUAUCAGGAGGAACACCGGUGGCGAAGGCGGUUCUCUGGGCAUUACCUGACGCUGAGGAGCGAAAGUGUGGGGAGCGAACAGG